Molecule: non-coding RNA, 125 nt
Organism: Triticum aestivum (bread wheat)
Lineage: Eukaryota; Viridiplantae; Streptophyta; Magnoliopsida; Poales; Poaceae
Source: Rfam
AAUAUACUCCCUCCAUUCCAAAUUACUUGUCACAAAAAUGAAUAGAAAUGGAUGUAUCUAAAACAAAAAUGCAUCUAGAUACAUCCAUUUAUACAACUAGUAUUUUCGAACGAAGGGAGUACAUU